RNAcentral lists this ribosomal RNA (1341 nucleotides) under Adhaeribacter sp. RNAcentral describes it as "bacterial SSU rRNA". It matches the Rfam family "Bacterial small subunit ribosomal RNA", at positions 86 to 1428 of the family's 1533-position model. The record is from RNAcentral. Lineage: Bacteria; Pseudomonadati; Bacteroidota; Cytophagia; Cytophagales; Hymenobacteraceae.
CCUAGAUUAGUGGCGCACGGGUGCGUAACGCGUAUGCAACCUACCUUUUAUUGGGGGAUAGCCCGAAGAAAUUCGGAUUAAUACCGCAUAACACUGUUUGAGGGCAUCUGAAGACAGUGAAAGCUCCGGCGAUAAAAGAUGGGCAUGCGUGUCAUUAGCUAGUUGGUGAGGUAACGGCUCACCAAGGCAACGAUGACUAGGGGUUCUGAGAGGAUGAUCCCCCACACUGGUACUGAGAUACGGACCAGACUCCUACGGGAGGCAGCAGUAGGGAAUAUUGGGCAAUGGCCGACAGGCUGACCCAGCCAUGCCGCGUGCCGGAUGAAGGCCUUCUGGGUUGUAAACGGCUUUUACCAGGGAAGAAAAUACCUUUGCGAAGGGAACUGACGGUACCUGGUGAAUAAGCACCGGCUAACUCCGUGCCAGCAGCCGCGGUAAUACGGAGGGUGCAAGCGUUGUCCGGAUUUAUUGGGUUUAAAGGGUGCGUAGGCGGCGUAGUAAGUCCGUGGUGAAAGCCAACAGCUCAACUGUUGAACUGCCAUGGAUACUGCUAGGCUGGAGUACAGACGAGGUAGGCGGAAUGGAUAGUGUAGCGGUGAAAUGCAUAGAUACUAUCCAGAACACCGAUUGCGAAGGCAGCUUACUAGACUGUAACUGACGCUGAGGCACGAAAGCGUGGGGAGCGAACAGGAUUAGAUACCCUGGUAGUCCACGCCGUAAACGAUGAUAACUCGAUGUUGGCGAUACACGGCCAGCGUCUUAGCGAAAGCGUUAAGUUAUCCACCUGGGGAGUACGCCCGCAAGGGUGAAACUCAAAGGAAUUGACGGGGGCCCGCACAAGCGGUGGAAGCAUGUGGUUUAAUUCGAUGAUACGCGAGGAACCUUACCUAGGCUAGAAUGCGCGUGACCGCCUCAGAGAUGAAGGCUUCCCUUCGGGGCACAAAGCAAGGUGCUGCAUGGCUGUCGUCAGCUCGUGCCGUGAGGUGUUGGGUUAAGUCCCGCAACGAGCGCAACCCCUAUCUUUAGUUGCCAGCGAGUCAUGUCGGGGACUCUAGAGAGACUGCCUGCGCAAGCAGUGAGGAAGGUGGGGACGACGUCAAGUCAUCAUGGCCCUUACGCCUAGGGCUACACACGUGCUACAAUGGGCGGUACAGAGGGUCGCUACUUAGUAAUAAGAUGCCAAUCUCAAAAAACCGUUCUCAGUUCGGAUUGAGGUCUGCAACUCGACCUCAUGAAGCUGGAAUCGCUAGUAAUCGCGUAUCAGCAAUGACGCGGUGAAUACGUUCCCGGGCCUUGUACACACCGCCCGUCAAGCCAUGGAAGUCAGGGAGACCUGAAGAC